AAUGCCUAGGAAUCUGCCUAGUAGUGGGGGAUAACGUCCGGAAACGGGCGCUAAUACCGCAUACGUCCUACGGGAGAAAGUGGGGGAUCUUCGGACCUCACGCUAUUAGAUGAGCCUAGGUCGGAUUAGCUAGUUGGUGAGGUAAUGGCUCACCAAGGCGACGAUCCGUAACUGGUCUGAGAGGAUGAUCAGUCACACUGGAACUGAGACACGGUCCAGACUCCUACGGGAGGCAGCAGUGGGGAAUAUUGGACAAUGGGCGAAAGCCUGAUCCAGCCAUGCCGCGUGUGUGAAGAAGGUCUUCGGAUUGUAAAGCACUUUAAGUUGGGAGGAAGGGCAGUUACCUAAUACGUGAUUGUUUUGACGUUACCGACAGAAUAAGCACCGGCUAACUCUGUGCCAGCAGCCGCGGUAAUACAGAGGGUGCAAGCGUUAAUCGGAAUUACUGGGCGUAAAGCGCGCGUAGGUGGUUUGUUAAGUUGGAUGCGAAAGCCCCGGGCUCAACCUG
RNAcentral lists this ribosomal RNA (508 nucleotides) under uncultured bacterium. RNAcentral describes it as "bacterial SSU rRNA". It matches the Rfam family "Bacterial small subunit ribosomal RNA", at positions 112 to 616 of the family's 1533-position model. The record is from RNAcentral.